Molecule: long non-coding RNA, 354 nt
Filed under: Salvia miltiorrhiza (redroot sage)
Lineage: Eukaryota; Viridiplantae; Streptophyta; Magnoliopsida; Lamiales; Lamiaceae
Description: long non-coding RNA (SMIL_LNC008598)
Source: RNAcentral
CAACCCUAAAAAAUAUAAGUGUCACUACUCACAAAAUACCAUGCUCGAGGGUGGCGGUGUGGACGAGACUCAAUAUCUGCAUCUUCUACAGAAAACAAAAUAAAAAUAAAAAGAAACAAAGAGAAAAGGAAAAAGAAAAUAAAACCAAGAAAAAUGUUGGGUUACCUCCCAACAAGUGCUUAAUUUAACAUCUAAAGCUCGAUGAUACCUCAUGGUCUCAAUGAACAUCAAACACAACAGACACAACAUAACGACCCACUCGAGCACUGGACGAAGAAGCAUGCUUACCUUUGGGAAACUUGAGCCUUUAUUCAGAGUCAUAAGGCGGCAUGGUCAAGUGCUCAUCCUUCACCC